GCCAUAGCAAAGCUCCCUGACUGUAACUCCAUGUAAAGUGUAAUUACGGCAACACAAGCAUAAAAUUACCAAGGACAAGAAGCUGCAAAAUAAAGAAAUUGACUUGCCUAGGAUCACAGAACUAUGGAUUAGGCCUCCUAAAUCUUCCCACCUUCUAGUCCCAGUGCUUUUUCUCCUGCAACACACUGACCCUUGACAUUCUGGUUUCCUAAGCUUCAAAAUCAAGACUCACUACAAAAGUCCAUGUGUUGGAAUGGAUGUGAAUUGUCCCAACCUCAGUGCCACUGACCUCCAGGAGGUGAUCAAGAUGGCAAGGAGAUUCAAAACCAGACUAUCUGAGGAUUGGUUGAAGGAACUAAGAAUAUUUAUACUAUGGAAAAGAAGAUAUGGAGGAACCAUGGUGUAUAGGAGAGUGUCAAACAUGCAGCCUACCUCAUGCAGCCUGAACCAGAUUAAAAUGCAUCUGGGAAAUAUGUAACAAAAUAAAUAAAAACACAAUA
This is a non-coding RNA of Phascolarctos cinereus (koala), 500 nucleotides long. The record is from RefSeq and is a predicted model, not a curated record. Lineage: Eukaryota; Metazoa; Chordata; Mammalia; Diprotodontia; Phascolarctidae.